Molecule: ribosomal RNA, 506 nt
Filed under: uncultured soil bacterium
Lineage: Bacteria
Description: bacterial SSU rRNA
Rfam family: Bacterial small subunit ribosomal RNA
Source: RNAcentral
AGAAUCAACGCUGGCGGCGUGCCUAACACAUGCAAGUUGAGCGCUUGAGGGGGGCAACCCCCAAGAGAGCAGCGAACGGGUGAGUAACGCGUGGGUGAUCUUCCUUCGAGUGGGGAACAACAUCGGGAAACUGGUGCUAAUUCCGCAUAACACCUUGGGGCUACGAGCCUCAAGAUCGAAGCCGGGGACCGUAAGGCCUGGCGCUUGAAGAUGAGCCCGCGUCCAAUUAGCUAGUUGGCGGGGUAAUGGCCCACCAAGGCUUCGAUCGGUAGCCGGCCUGAGAGGGCGACGGCCACGACUGGAACUGAGACACGGUCCAGACUCUACGGAGCAGCAGUGGGAAUUUUCGCAAUGGGCGCAAGCCUGACGAAGCAACGCCGCGUGGAGGAUGAAGGUCUUCGGAUUGUAAACUCCUGUCGACCGGACGAAUGCACCCGACCUAAUACGUCGAAGUGUUAGACGGUACCGGUGGAAGGAAGCCACGGCUAACUCUGUGCCAGCAGCCG